AAUGCUUUGGGGUGGGGUGACUGCGUACCUUUUGUAUAAUGGGUCAGCGACUUAUAUUCUGUAGCAAGGUUAACCGAAUAGGGGAGCCGGAGGGAAACCGAGUCUUAAUUGGGCGUUAAGUUGCAGGGUAUAGACCCGAAACCCGGUGAUCUAGCCAUGGGCAGGUUGAAGGUUGGGUAACACUAACUGGAGGACCGAACCGACUAAUGUUGAAAAAUUAGCGGAUGACCUGUGGCUGGGGGUGAAAGGCCAAUCAAACCGGGAGAUAGCUGGUUCUCCCCGAAAGCUAUUUAGGUAGCGCCUCGUGAAUUCAUCUCCGGGGGUAGAGCACUGUUUCGGCUAGGGGGCCAUCCCGGCUUACCAACCCGAUGCAAACUGCGAAUACCGGAGAAUGUUAUCACGGGAGACACACGGCGGGUGCUAACGUCCGUCGUGAAGAGGGAAACAACCCAGACCGCCAGCUAAGGUCCCAAAGUCAUGGUUAAGUGGGAAACGAUGUGGGAAGGCCCAGACAGCCAGGAUGUUGGCUUAGAAGCAGCCAUCAUUUAAAGAAAGCGUAAUAGCUCACUGGUCGAGUCGGCCUGCGCGGAAGAUGUAACGGGGCUAAACCAUGCACCGAAGCUGCGGCAGCGAACGUAUCACCCAAGACAACUUUACGGAGUUGACGAUUGACGGAGCGAAGCGACGUCAAAGCGUUCAUUAAAGUCGAGUUGGCUUAGGGAUACGUUCGUUGGGUAGGGGAGCGUUCUGUAAGCCUGUGAAGGUGUGUCGUGAGGCAUGCUGGAGGUAUCAGAAGUGCGAAUGCUGACAUAAGUAACGAUAAAGCGGGUGAAAAGCCCGCUCGCCGGAAGACCAAGGGUUCCUGUCCAACGUUAAUCGGGGCAGGGUGAGUCGACCCCUAAGGCGAGGCCGAAAGGCGUAGUCGAUGGGAAACGGGUUA
RNAcentral lists this ribosomal RNA (940 nucleotides) under Salmonella enterica. Its description in RNAcentral is "partial 23S ribosomal RNA". It matches the Rfam family "Bacterial large subunit ribosomal RNA", at positions 577 to 1432 of the family's 2925-position model. The record is from RNAcentral. Lineage: Bacteria; Pseudomonadati; Pseudomonadota; Gammaproteobacteria; Enterobacterales; Enterobacteriaceae.